GGGGUAUUGUCACAGACAGCCGUCUAAACGUCCCGGGGGCAACUCCCAUUGAAAUGGUAGAGUUGGUACUUAGUGUUUGCCAUGAUUCUGGCCUGCACUCCCCUCAGCAUGGCGGCGUGGGUAUACUGUUCCCCAUAGCGACCCCUAGAGGACGCAGUUCGAAGUUCCCUUGAAAGGGAACGUCUCAGGGAACCAUAGUUACAUUCGUAACCUGAGACGUUCACCUUCGGAACACAAUUUAAGAUAUUUCUGAUGAAAUCUGAGAGCUUUCAGACCCUCCCAUCGACAACAAGGGUCCUUACACGAUCAAGACACAGAAAAGUACCAAGGUCAGCGCCGGCGCCGCCACACAUUUGCAUCAUGGUACUGUCGUGAACGUGUGUCCACAGGUGAUGCAGUACAGACGAAAAAUGUGGAAUAAAGUAAUUAUUUUUGUUUUCUUUGUCGAUCAUCUUGGUACUUUUCUGUGUCUUGAUCGUGUAAGGACCCUUGUUGUCGAUGGGAGGGUCUGAAAGCUGUGUUUCGAAGAUGAAUGAAGGUCUUACGGGUUUUGGAACGACAUGAGGGUGAGUAAUUAAUGACAGAAUUUUCAUUUUUGGGUGAACUACAACUUUAACUCCUCAAAAUUAGUUUUUUUGUUAUAAUGUAUAUAGGUUGGUUCAAUGAUGUUAAAGACUUGAAUCAAACCAGUUAAUUUAGAUGUUACUGUUUUUAGGUUACUAUUUUUUCAUAUUUUCAGUGUAAAAGUGGAUAAUAUCUGGGGACUUUAACUGUAAUUCAUUCCAUGUUAAUUUAAUUGUGAUACUGCAAUAAUAAUAAUAAUAAUAAUAAACGUAUUUGAUUUCCAUCUUUUAACUUAUAAGUUUUAUGCAAAAUGUAUUGUCAAGUAGGAAUGACCCAGGUAGUACUUUAUUGGCUACAAAGCAGUAAUCAAGCGAGAAUCACCAAUUCCCGGAUUUAUGUAAUCUACUCAGAAGCCAAGAUUUCUGCUAUUUCCAUCAGGAUAUGUGCACAUGUAUUUCUAGGUUCACUAAACUGAACUUUCAGCAACCCAUAGUUCAUCUGCUCCUUAACUGUCUAGUCAUCUCAUACUCCUGUAAGAACAGAAGACUUUCUAGAGUCUGUUCUUAAUGUAUGCCUAAAUGGAUGUGUAAAAUCGACCAACUUUGUUACAUAGAGAAUGUUUCUGGGAAUGGUUGUUGUAUCGUAGUGCAUCCCUCUAGUUCACAAGUUUUACCCAUCUGCAGGUCCUCAGUUGAUCUCUAUGUAUGAUAUAAGCACUCAACUCAUGACCUGUUAAUGUUAAUGAUAAUCUUGCCUAAUACAUUGUCUUAGUGCAAUGUUUAGUUCAGUUUUUGGAGUUUACAGAAGUGAUUAUUUAUCUAUGACUUGAUUUUGGUUAUUUAGCUUGUUUACUUGGGCCCCACGUUUGUCCCGCCACUGUCACGUGUUGGGGGGACACUCCUACUACUAAUGCGGUAUUGUCUUAGCUCUAACUCUCAUUGCUAAUGCAUGAUAAUGAGUAAUUAGUAAGACUGAUGUUUCACUGCCCUUGAUAGAACUUAAAAAAAAAUCUUUGAUCUUUAUUGGACUGUUACAAGUUGUAUAGUGAGUGAAACUGUACCCUAACCACUGUAUUAUGUCCUUGUUAUAUUAAAUGCUCUAUGACAAGCUUAUAGCAUACACAUAUGGAGAUAUUUGGUAGAUUUAUAUUGUGUAAUAUUGUGAUAGCAUGUACAUAAAAAUACCUCCUCUGCAAUAAAUAUUUCUACAAAAACAAUUAUGUGUAGACUUAAUGAAAUCAAAAUGAAUGAAAAAAAGUUUUUGGUA
This is a long non-coding RNA of Cyprinus carpio carpio, 1830 nucleotides long. The record is from Ensembl. Lineage: Eukaryota; Metazoa; Chordata; Actinopteri; Cypriniformes; Cyprinidae.